This 726-nucleotide long non-coding RNA is filed under the name Ananas comosus (pineapple). RNAcentral's name for it is "long non-coding RNA (ACOM_LNC000497)". The record is from RNAcentral. Lineage: Eukaryota; Viridiplantae; Streptophyta; Magnoliopsida; Poales; Bromeliaceae.
UAGAAUUCCUUGGUCGAAGGUUAGUCAACGAGCUCGGCAUUCAACCUUGGCCGAGACCGUGGGAACGAAGAGAAAUUCUAAAAAACCAUUUAAGAACGGUGAAGGUACCGGCGAAUGUGCCAGUAGAUGAAUGGCACGACGUUGAAGUUAAACCAUCGGCCAGAUGGCAUGGGUCGAUGUUAACAAAAACUCAGAAACGUCGGCAGCAGAGGAUGUAAGCCGAAGCGAGACAACAUUAUGAGGAGGCGAAAGGGAUAAGGCUCAAUGUUUGGAGGCGCCCUGAUGAGCAGUCCCGCCCUUUUCGUCUAAUGAGAAAUGAUCACGAGGCAGGCGGCUCAUCAUCCGCCCCGCAGUUGAAGUCAAGAAUAGAACGGCCAAUCGAGGCCGAGUCAUAAGAUAAGAUGAUCAGGAGGGAGUUAGAAGAAAAAAUAGCUUUCCUCGAAACUAUGAUCAAAAGAGAGAGAUGGCCUCCGAAAAAAAAGGAUGUCCGGAUGGAAAGUGAUUCUUCUGCUGAAACAACAAAGGAGUCGGAGAAGAAGAAACAAAGAACCAAAGGAAAAUCAGCCGAAGAAUCGCCGGCUGAAGUGAAUAUGGUAUAUGCUCUGCCUCAAUCCUUUAAGGCAGAGUUUAUUGAGUAUGAAGAAUUUAGAGAGGAGGAGGAAGAUGGGCUUAGAGUAGCCCAAUUGUAAUUAGAAGAUGUUCGACCGGCCGACGCAGUGAUUUUUG